This 420-nucleotide ribosomal RNA is filed under the name uncultured bacterium. RNAcentral describes it as "bacterial SSU rRNA". It matches the Rfam family "Bacterial small subunit ribosomal RNA", at positions 360 to 772 of the family's 1533-position model. The record is from RNAcentral.
AAUUUUGGACAAUGGGGGAAACCCUGAUCCAGCCAUGCCGCGUGAGUGAAGAAGGCCUUCGGGUUGUAAAGCUCUUUCGGACAGGAAAAAAUCGUUUGUGUGAAUAAUGCAAACGGAUGACGGUACUGUAAGAAGAAGCACCGGCUAACUACGUGCCAGCAGCCGCGGUAAUACGUAGGGUGCGAGCGUUAAUCGGAAUUACUGGGCGUAAGGCGUGCGCAGGCGGUUAUAUAAGACAGAUGUGAAAGCCCCGGGCUUAACCUGGGAACUGCGUUUGUGACUGUAUAGCUAGAGUACGGCAGAGGGGGGUGGAAUUCCUGGUGUAGCAGUGAAAUGCGUAGAUAUCAGGAGGAACAUCGAUGGCGAAGGCAGCCCCCUGGGCCUGUACUGACGCUCAUGCACGAAAGCGUGGGGAGCAAA